RNAcentral lists this transfer RNA (74 nucleotides) under Podarcis lilfordi (Lilford's wall lizard). Its description in RNAcentral is "tRNA.Lys". The stretch from base 11 to 66 matches the Rfam family "tRNA", at positions 10 to 63 of the family's 71-position model. Rfam says of the family: Transfer RNA (tRNA) molecules are approximately 80 nucleotides in length. Lineage: Eukaryota; Metazoa; Chordata; Lepidosauria; Squamata; Lacertidae. The record is from RNAcentral.
UCCUGGAGUCGCUCAGUUGGUAGAGCAUGAGACUCUUAAUCUCAGAGCUGUGGGUUCGAGUCCCACAUUGGGCA